UCUAUGUUCUUGCUUCUACUGCCAUAUCCUCCAUAACAGCUCCUCAAGAGAAGGAGAUCUGCCACUCUUGACUUGAAUCUGGGAUCCAAGGUUGUGCCCUCCUCCAUGAACUGUUUGAUUGUUUCCAUCCUUCAAGACAGAACAGUACGAGUCCCUGAAUAUUCCUAAUGAAACCAGCUCGUCUUUUGUUAAUUGGACGACGUACACAUGGGUCACAAGAGUCACCUGACAUGGUGCUGGUGGAGAAAAGGCGUAGCUUGACUCAUGUCAGUCAGGUGACAUGCAUGUGGGUCAAAUCUGGAACUUCCUGAGCUUCGGUCAGGAGCAGUUCUGGAUUCUCCGGGAGUGACCACAUCGGAUGGUCCAGGCAGUUGUACAUGCACAAUUAU
Molecule: long non-coding RNA, 389 nt
Organism: Puntigrus tetrazona (Sumatra barb)
Lineage: Eukaryota; Metazoa; Chordata; Actinopteri; Cypriniformes; Cyprinidae
Exons: 3
Source: RefSeq, a predicted model, not a curated record